Molecule: ribosomal RNA, 505 nt
Filed under: uncultured archaeon
Lineage: Archaea
Description: bacterial SSU rRNA
Rfam family: Archaeal small subunit ribosomal RNA
Source: RNAcentral
ACGGGGUGCAGCAGGCGCGAAAACUUCACACUGUGCGAAAGCGCGAUGAGGGAAUCCCAAGUGUUUACUCGUAAGAGUAAACUGUUUCUUUGUUUAAAACGCAGAGAGAGUAAGGGCUGGGUAAGACGGGUGCCAGCCGCCGCGGUAAUACCUGCAGCUCAAGUGGUGAUCAUUAUUAUUGGGCCUAAAACGUCCGUAGCCGGUUUAGUAAAUGCCUGGGUAAAUCGUGUAGCUUAACUAUACGACUUCCGGGUAGACUGCUAAACUUGAGACCGGGUGAGGCUAGAGGUACUCCUGGGGUAGAGGUGAAAUUCUGUAAUCCUAGGGGGACCACCAGUGGCGAAGGCGUCUAGCUAGAACGGGUCUGACGGUGAGGGACGAAGCCCUGGGGCACAAACCGGAUUAGAUACCCGGGUAGUCCAGGGUGUAAACGCUGCUUGCUUGAUGUUAGUUGGGCUCCGAGCCCAACUAGUGUCGGAGAGAAGUUGUUAAGCAAGCUGCCUGG